This 301-nucleotide ribosomal RNA is filed under the name uncultured bacterium. Its description in RNAcentral is "partial 16S ribosomal RNA". It matches the Rfam family "Bacterial small subunit ribosomal RNA", at positions 509 to 807 of the family's 1533-position model. The record is from RNAcentral.
CAGUAGCCGCGGGAAUACAGAGGGUGCAAGCGUUAAUCGGAAUUACUGGGCGUAAAGCGCGCGUAGGUGGUUUGUUAAGUUGGAUGUGAAAUCCCCGGGCUCAACCUGGGAACUGCAUCCAAAACUGGCAAGCUAGAGUAUGGUAGAGGGUGGUGGAAUUUCCUGUGUAGCGGUGAAAUGCGUAGAUAUAGGAAGGAACACCAGUGGCGAAGGCGACCACCUGGACUGAUACUGACACUGAGGUGCGAAAGCGUGGUGAGCAAACAGGAUUAGAUACCCGCGUAGUCCCUGUCUCUUAUAC